GACGAACGCUGGCGGCGUGCUUAACACAUGCAAGUCGAACGGACAGACAGAGAGCUUGCUCUCUUGAAGUUAGUGGCGAACGGGUGAGUAACGCGUAAUCACCCUGCCCUUCAGAGGGGGAUAACAACGGGAAACCGUUGCUAAUACCGCGUACGAUUCAUGAACGGCAUCGUUUAUGAAUGAAAGGUGGCCUCUAUGUAUAAGCUAUCGCUGAAGGAGGGGAUUGCGUCUGAUUAGCUAGUUGGAGGGGUAACGGCCCACCAAGGCAAUGAUCAGUAGCCGGUCUGAGAGGAUGAACGGCCACAUUGGGACUGAGACACGGCCCAAACUCCUACGGGAGGCAGCAGUGGGGAAUCUUCCGCAAUGGACGAAAGUCUGACGGAGCAACGCCACGUGAGUGAUGAAGGUCUUCGGAUUGUAAAGCUCUGUUAAUCGGGACGAAAGAGUUCUGCGUGAAUAAUGCAGAAAAGUGACGGUACCGGAAUAGAAAGCCACGGCUAACUACGUGCCAGCCGCCGCAGUAA
This 524-nucleotide ribosomal RNA is filed under the name uncultured bacterium. RNAcentral describes it as "partial 16S ribosomal RNA". It matches the Rfam family "Bacterial small subunit ribosomal RNA", at positions 28 to 523 of the family's 1533-position model. The record is from RNAcentral.